RNAcentral lists this ribosomal RNA (200 nucleotides) under uncultured organism. RNAcentral describes it as "partial small subunit ribosomal RNA". It matches the Rfam family "Bacterial small subunit ribosomal RNA", at positions 1184 to 1382 of the family's 1533-position model. The record is from RNAcentral.
GUCAAGUCAUCAUGGCCCUUAUGCCCAGGGCUACACACGUGCUACAAUGGCCGGUACAAAGGGCUGCGAACCCGCGAGGGGGAGCGAAUCCCAAAAAGCCGGCCCAAGUUCGGAUCGCAGUCUGCAACUCGACUGCGUGAAGCCGGAAUCGCUAGUAAUCGCGGAUCAGCUACGCCGCGGUGAAUACGUUCCCGGGCCUU